CGUUUUUGUUGACUUUCGGUUUUUCGGUUUUGUUUUUGUUUCGUUUUUGGUUUGGGGGUUUUUCUUGAGAAGGGAGUUGUAGGGGGACAAAAGGAGGACCCGCGCGCGCCAGGGGCGGUCGGUAAGGGAGGUCAGGGCCGCCGGCGGGAGUCGGAGGCCGCGUCCAGGAUGGAUGUGGCCGACCCGCAGCCGCUGGGCAUGUUUACGGAGGGGGAGCUGAUGUCCGUGGGCAUGGACACGUUCAUUCACCGCAUCGACUCCACGGAGGUCAUCUACCAGCCGCGGCGCAAGCGGGCCAAGCUCAUCGGCAAGUACUUGAUGGGAGACCUCCUGGGAGAGGGGUCGUACGGCAAGGUGAAGGAGGUGCUGGACUCGGAGACGCUGUGCCGGAGGGCCGUCAAGAUCCUCAAGAAGAAGAAGUUGCGGAGGAUCCCCAACGGCGAGGCCAACGUCAAGAAGGAAAUCCAACUUCUGAGGAGAUUACGGCACAAAAACGUCAUCCAGCUGGUGGACGUGCUAUACAACGAAGAGAAGCAAAAAAUGUAUAUGGUGAUGGAGUACUGCGUGUGCGGCAUGCAGGAGAUGCUGGACAGCGUGCCCGAGAAGCGCUUCCCCGUGUGCCAGGCCCACGGGUACUUCUGCCAGCUGGUGGACGGCCUGGAGUACCUGCACAGCCAGGGCAUCGUGCACAAGGACAUCAAGCCAGGCAACCUGCUGCUCACCACCAGCGGCACGCUCAAGAUCUCCGACCUGGGUGUGGCCGAGGCCCUGCACCCGUUUGCUGAGGACGACACGUGCAGGACGAGCCAGGGCUCCCCGGCGUUCCAGCCCCCGGAGAUUGCCAACGGCCUGGACACCUUCUCUGGGUUUAAGGUGGACAUCUGGUCAGCUGGAGUCACUCUCUAUAACAUCACGACAGGCCUGUACCCGUUUGAGGGCGACAACAUCUACAAGCUGUUCGAGAACAUCGGAAAGGGAGACUACACGAUCCCGGGUGACUGCGGGCCCCCGCUCUCGGACUUGCUGCGAGGGAUGCUGGAGUACGAGCCCGCCCGGAGGUUCUCUAUUCAGCAGAUCAGGCAGCACAGCUGGUUCCGGAAGAAGCACGCGCCGGCCGAGGAGCCGGUGCCCAUCCCGCCGAGCGCGGACGGCAAGGACCGCUGGCGCGGCAUGACAGUGGUGCCCUACCUGGAGGACCUGCACGGCUGUGCCGACGACAAUGGGGACGAGGGCCUGUUCGAUGUCGAGGAUGACAUCAUCUACACUCAGGACUUCACGGUGCCCGGUGGCGAGGAGGCGUCUGAGGCAGGGCUUAGAGAGGAGCGAGGCGCGCAGAAGAGCCAGUGCUCAGACCUUUCUGGAGAGGAAGCUGAGGCCAGGGGCGCAGCAGGGCUCGAGGCCAUAGUGUAGCGAUGCCCCCCGCAGUGCCCGCCGGUGCCGGAGAGGCCAGGCCUGGGUGCCUGGCCACCGACCCUCCCUGACCCUGCCCAGGUGUCUGAGGGCGGCCAGGGCAGGUGCCCCUCCCCCAGUGUUCACCAUUGCGUUCUGGGGCCGGGCUCGCAGGCUCCCGUCAUAAAGGUCCGCCCCGCUGUGCCUGUGCCUGUGCCUUUCCCUGGCGCGUUUGCCAAACGUUAGAUUUUUGUUGUAGACAAACCUGGUGUGCGGGGGUGGCCUGUGUGGUGGGUGGGGCCCCUGGGGACGCCCCACUAGGCAGUAAUGCUGGGGGCCCAGAGCUGUUUUCCUGGCAGAGCUGGGGCGGGGUUCAGGCAUCCCACCUGAGCAGGGGGCGUGCUUGGGGGUCUGAGAUGCCCGUUCUGGAGCUGGACCCCAAGUGGCAGUGGCUUUGGCUCAGCAGGAACUCACAGUAGAGUCCCAGGAGGUGAUGCGUGCUUGGUGUCUGUGGCCUUGGAGAGGUCCUCUGUAGAACGGUAAAGAGCCAUCCUGCUUCUCAGAGGUGCGGGGCUCUCGUGUCAGGGCCUUGGGAGGGGACCUCGCUGGCGGCCAUCUGUUGUCUCUGCAACGUGGGGCGAGCACUCUUCCACAUGCCCAGACCCCUGUCAGACCCCUGACUAUGUGCGUGGGAGGCAGGGCUCGUGCCGCAGUGGCUCUCCGGCUGGAGUCCGACGCCCGACCGUCCGUCCGUGCUAGAAGGAGCAGAGCCUCUCCCAGGACCGCUGACGCUUUCUCGGAGCCCUCGUGGGUCCACAGUGGCUGUGCUGAGGCCUCGUCCCCUCCUCACUGCCGUCCCUGUGCUGUGGUCGCCCUCAGAGGCUUUUAGCUGUUUGGCCUUGUCUCCCAGGACUGUCCCCACUGUGGGGGUCUGCCUCCUGCCCUGAAAGCCGGGUGCCGGGCCUUGGGCCAGAGGACAGGUCCCAGAGGAGGAGUCUGGGCAGAACGGGCAGAGCCGGGGCCUACCCAAAGUGCUGUGCGCCAACGGCACCGAGCCG
Molecule: RNA transcript, 2447 nt
Organism: Mustela erminea (ermine)
Lineage: Eukaryota; Metazoa; Chordata; Mammalia; Carnivora; Mustelidae
Gene: STK11
Gene name: serine/threonine kinase 11
Exons: 10
Source: RefSeq, a predicted model, not a curated record